Long non-coding RNA from Cornus florida, 726 nucleotides. RefSeq lists it as uncharacterized. The record is from RefSeq and is a predicted model, not a curated record. The transcript has 2 exons. NCBI's taxonomy places the organism in Eukaryota, Viridiplantae, Streptophyta, Magnoliopsida, Cornales, Cornaceae.
UAAAAUGAAAGUUGCAACAAAUGGUAGGGUUUGUUCUGUGCUCUUGUGUGGCGAUUCCGGAGGCGAUUCCACUGUUUGUGCUUCAAAUCGACGACGCUUUCCUACACAGUGCACAACGUUGGGCUUCAAAUCGACAAAAACCAAACUGGGCUUGAAAUUGAUGAAGCUUUCCUACACAGUCGUCUUUUUGUCACUGCUAUGGGCUUGAAAUCGACCACAACGAAAUAGAUCUAAAGCUUUCCUUGAGAGUCGUCUUCUUCUCACUUAUCGGGUUUCAAAUCGACCACUGUGUAUGAAGAUCUGAAGAGAAACUCCCUCUGUCUCACCUCUGCGUUUUCCGGCAAACCCAAGCUUCGCCAUUACCUUCUGUCACUCCGACGAGUUCUUUGCGAAGGGGCAGAGCUCUCUCUUCACCGCGUCUCUCUCCACUCUCGGAUUCUCUUCUCUCUGUCCAGAAUCUCCCCAAGCUCUCUCUCUAUUUCCUCAUCUCUCUCAUCUCGGUAUGUUGAGUUUUGUUAGAAUUUUGUUUAAAAUUUUUUAUUUUAUUUGAAAGAUGAUACAAACUCAGUUUUUUAUAGAAAGAUCUGUGUUCUUCGGCUAUGAAUGUGCUCGUGCUAUUCUCUAUUAUUACCACCAGUCUCUUUGUUUUGUAUUCUUGGCUGUAAAAUCUUAACUGAUGUUGAAAAAAAAUUUGUUGGGUAUGAAAAAAAAAAAAACAAAAUUCUU